GGGAAUGGAAGGGCACCUGGUGGGCCCCGCGGACUUCAAAUCCGUAGCCCCGGCGCUUGGGCGUCGGGGGGUGGGUUCGAUUCCCACACAUUCCCGCAA
Molecule: transfer RNA, 99 nt
Filed under: Bacteroidota bacterium
Lineage: Bacteria; Pseudomonadati; Bacteroidota
Description: Bacteroidetes bacterium (hydrothermal vent metagenome) tRNA-Sec
Rfam family: Selenocysteine transfer RNA
Source: RNAcentral